RNAcentral lists this ribosomal RNA (389 nucleotides) under uncultured bacterium. RNAcentral's name for it is "bacterial SSU rRNA". It matches the Rfam family "Bacterial small subunit ribosomal RNA", at positions 28 to 417 of the family's 1533-position model. The record is from RNAcentral.
GACGAACGCUGGCGGCGUGCUUAACACAUGCAAGUCGAGCGGUAAGGCCCUUUCGGGGGUACACGAGCGGCGAACGGGUGAGUAACACGUGGGUGACCUGCCCUCAGCUCUGGGAUAAGCCUGGGAAACCGGGUCUAAUACCGGAUAUGACUCCAUGACGCAUGUUGUGGGGUGGAAAGCCUUGUGCGGCUGAGGAUGGGCCCGCGGCCUAUCAGCUUGUUGGUGGGGUGAUGGCCUACCAAGGCGACGACGGGUAGCCGGCCUGAGAGGGCGGACCGGCCACACUGGGACUGAGACACGGCCCAGACUCCUACGGGAGGCAGCAGUGGGGAAUCUUGCGCAAUGGGCGAAAGCCUGACGCAGCGACGCCGCGUGAGGGAUGACGGCCU